This is a long non-coding RNA of Zingiber officinale, 293 nucleotides long. RefSeq lists it as uncharacterized. The record is from RefSeq and is a predicted model, not a curated record. The transcript has 2 exons. NCBI's taxonomy places the organism in Eukaryota, Viridiplantae, Streptophyta, Magnoliopsida, Zingiberales, Zingiberaceae.
CUUGUGGGAUCGAGACUGGACUUCCUUGACGAGCGACGGUGGCGCAUUGGAAGAAGCGUGGUUUACUGCACCAAAGCUCGUAAAGGCGACAUUUUCAGGGACCUCCGAGAGCAAUGUGACUCCAUUAAUGGGGAAGCAGUUGCAGAGCUAAAAAUUAGAAGUUUGAAUUCACUAAACAAGGAUCAAUCCAACAACUUCGUAGAAAAGCUGAGAACUGAAUGAAACCUCGGAAGCAGUUCCAAUUCGGACCUCAACCAAGAAAAAGAUCGAGAACACUCGCAGAAAUUAACAAG